The sequence is a ribosomal RNA, 1104 nucleotides long. It matches the Rfam family "Bacterial small subunit ribosomal RNA", at positions 36 to 1153 of the family's 1533-position model.
GUAGCUUGGCGCAGCUUAGCAUGCGGUCGAACGAUGAACCUCCUUCGGGAGGGGAUUAGUGGCGAACGGGUGAGUAACACGUGGGCAAUCUGCCCUGCACUCUGGGACAAGCCCUGGAAACGGGGUCUAAUACCGGAUACUGACCCGCUUGGGCAUCCAAGCGGUUCAAAAGCUCCGGCGGUGCAAGAUGAGCCCGCGGCCUAUCAUCUUGUUGGUGAGGUAAUGGCUCACCAGGGCGACGACGGGUAGCCGGCCUGAGAGGGCGACCGGCCACACUGGGACUGAGACACGGCCCAGACUCCUACGGGAGGCAGCAGUGGGGAAUAUUGCACAGUGGGCGAAAGCCUGAUGCAGCGACGCCGCGUGAGGGAUGACGGCCUUCGGGUUGUAAACCUCUUUCAGCAGGGAAGAAGCGAAAGUGACGGUACCUGCAGAAGAAGCGCCGGCUAACUACGUGCCAGCAGCCGCGGUAAUACGUAGGGCGCGAGCGUUGUCCGGAAUUAUUGGGCGUAAAGAGCUCGUACGCGGCUUGUCACGUCGGUUGUGAAAGCCCGGGGCUUAACCCCGGGUCUGCAGUCGAUACGGGCAGGCUAGAGUUCGGUAGGGGAGAUCGGAAUUCCUGGUGUAGCGGUGAAAUGCGCAUAUAUCAGGAGGAACACCGGUGGCGAACGCAGAUCUCUGGGCCGAUACUGACGCUGAAGAGCGAAAGCGUGGGGAGCGAACAAGAUUAGAUACCCUGGUAGUCCACGCCGUAAACGGUGGGCACUAUGUGUGGGCGACAUUCCACGUCGUCCGUGCCGCAUCUAACGCAUUAAGUGCCCCGCCUGGAGAGUACGGCCGCAAGGCUAACACUCAAAGGAAUUGACGGGGGCCCGCACAAGCGGCAGAACAUGUGGCUUAAUUCGACGCAACGCGAAGAACCUUACCAAGGCUUGACAUACACCGGAAACGUCCAGAGAUGGGCCCCCCCUUGUGGUCGGUGUACAGGGGGGGCAAGGCUCUCCCCCCCCCCUGUCGCGAAAUUUUGUGUUAAUCCCCCAAAAACGGAACCUUUUUCCCUUUUUCAACAAGCCCUUUUGGUUUGGGGAAUACCGGAAAACCCCC